Molecule: RNase P RNA, 377 nt
Filed under: Cyanobacteria bacterium SW_9_44_58
Lineage: Bacteria; Bacillati; Cyanobacteriota
Description: RNase P RNA component class A
Rfam family: Bacterial RNase P class A
About the family: Ribonuclease P (RNase P) is a ubiquitous endoribonuclease, found in archaea, bacteria and eukarya as well as chloroplasts and mitochondria. Its best characterised activity is the generation of mature 5'-ends of tRNAs by cleaving the 5'-leader elements of precursor-tRNAs. Cellular RNase Ps are ribonucleoproteins.
Source: RNAcentral
AGAGUUGGCGAGGUAGUUGCAGUUUGGUGUUUUUAAUACCAAAUUGAGGAAAGUCCGGGCUUCCAAAGACCAGACUGCUGGGUAACGCCCAGUGCGGGCAACCGUGAGGAAAGUGCCACAGAAACAUACCGCCAAAGAUUGAGCCAUAUCUUUGGUAAGGGUGCAAAGGUGCGGUAAGAGCGCACCAGCAGCAUCGAGAGGUGCUGGCUCGGUAAACCCCAGUCGGAAGCAAGGUCAAAGGAAACUAUGGUUGGUCUUUUACCGGUUUCCGUUGAAUAAGUACCGCCUGAGGCUUCUGGCAACAGGAGUCCCAGAUAGAUAGCUACCCUCAAGAUGCUAUCUUGAGAACAGAACCCGGCUUACGUCCAACUCUCUUU